AUUGAACGCUAGCGGGAUGCCUUACACAUGCAAGUCGAACGGCAGCGCGGACUUCGGUCUGGCGGCGAGUGGCGAACGGGCGAGUAAUGUAUCGGAACGUGCCCAGUAGCGGGGGAUGACUACUCGAAAGAGUAGCUAAUACCGCAUACGCCCUACGGGGGAAAUGGGGGGAUCGCAAGACCUAGCGUUGAUUGGGCGGCCGAUAUCAGAUUCUCUAGUUGGUGGGGUAAGAGCCGACCAAGGCGACGAUCAGUAGCUGGUCUGAGAGAACGACCAGCCACACUGGAACUGAGACACGGUCCAGACUCCUACGGGAGGCAGCAGUGGGGAAUUUUGGACAAUGGGGGCAACCCUGAUCCAGCCAUUCCGCGUGAGUGAAGAAGGCCUUCGGGUUGUAAAGCUCUUUCGCAAGGGAAGAAAACUCGAUCUCUAAUAUAGGUUGAGGCUGACGGUACCUUGAUAAGAAGCACCGGCUAACUACGUGCCAGCCGCCGCGGUAA
Molecule: ribosomal RNA, 500 nt
Filed under: uncultured bacterium
Lineage: Bacteria
Description: partial 16S ribosomal RNA
Rfam family: Bacterial small subunit ribosomal RNA
Source: RNAcentral